Molecule: long non-coding RNA, 490 nt
Filed under: Homo sapiens (human)
Lineage: Eukaryota; Metazoa; Chordata; Mammalia; Primates; Hominidae
Description: HSALNT0116356
Source: RNAcentral
CUACGUUCUGUUAGCAUCAAAGUUACCUCUAUUUUUUUCUUCUCUCUGGCACCUCUCUACUUGGUGGUGCCUUUUCAAAGUGAACAAGUGUAAGGAACUUGGUCAUUUCUUACCCAACUGGAUAAAGCCCUGGCGUCUGAAUUUGUCACGGUUUCCACCUCGUUGACUGUCAGGCCAGUCGGGCCGCAACCUGACCCAUGAAGUUUCUGAGUCCUCUUUACUGGCCCUGCAGGUGUCCAUCACCAAACUCCUUUUGUAACCUUCUGAAGACCUUUUGAUUGGAUCAUUUAUGUGCAUUAUUGGUGGGGAGAGGAAGGAGAUUUUUUGCAAAAAGAAGAGAUUAACUACGUGCUAGAAAUCCGCGGACUACCUCAAAAAAUCCAAAUGUUCUCAGAAUCAAUGCCUGGACGGAUGUGCCCCAAACUCUGUCACUUUCCAAUAUCAAAAAUUAAGAAGUAUUAAGAGCAUAUAUUAAACAAUAAUACCUUGC